AGGACGAACGCUGGCGGCGUGCUUAAUACAUGCAAGUCGAGCGGAAAGGCCCUUCGGGGUACUCGAGCGGCGAACGGGUGAGUAACACGUGAGUAAUCUGCCCCUAGCUCUGGGAUAGCUCCGGGAAACCGGGAUUAAUACCAGAUACGACCACUUUAGACAUCUGCUGUGGUGGAAAGAAUUUCGGCUAGGGAUGAGCUCGCGGCCUAUCAGCUUGUUGGUGAGGUAACGGCUCACCAAGGCGACGACGGGUAGCCGGCCUGAGAGGGGCGUACCGGGCCAACGACGUCGGGACUUAGGAGACACGGCCCAGACUCCUACGGGAGGCAGCAGUGGGGAAUAUUGGACAAUGGGGGAAACCCUGAUCCAGCGACGCCGCGUGUGUGAAGAAGGCCUGCGGGUUGUAAAGCACUUUUAGUGGGGACAAAAAGCUACGGAUUAAUACUCUGUGGUCUUGAUUUAACCCAAGAAAAAAGCACCGGCUAACUCUGUGCCAGCAGCCGC
This 504-nucleotide ribosomal RNA is filed under the name uncultured bacterium. RNAcentral's name for it is "SSU rRNA". It matches the Rfam family "Bacterial small subunit ribosomal RNA", at positions 26 to 518 of the family's 1533-position model. The record is from RNAcentral.